RNAcentral lists this ribosomal RNA (158 nucleotides) under uncultured bacterium. RNAcentral describes it as "partial 16S ribosomal RNA". It matches the Rfam family "Bacterial small subunit ribosomal RNA", at positions 372 to 523 of the family's 1533-position model. The record is from RNAcentral.
UGGGCGCAGCCUGAUCCAGCAAUGCCGCGUGUGUGAUGAAGGCCUUCGGGUUGUAAAGCUCUUUUGUCCGGGAAGAAAAUGACCGGGCUAAUACCUGAGGCCCCUGACAGUUCCUUGCCAACAACCCCCGGCUUAAUACGUGCCAGCAGCCGCGGUAA